AGUGAACGCUGGCGGUAGGCCUAACACAUGCAAGUCGAACGGCAGCACAGUAAGAGCUUGCUCUUACGGGUGGCGAGUGGCGUACGGGUGGGGGAUAAAUCGGAAUCUACUUUUUCGUGGGGGGUAGCGUAAGGAAACUUACGCUAAUCCAGCAUACGACCUACGGGUUAAAGCAGGGGAUCUUCGGACCUUGCGCGAAUUAAUUCGCCGAGAUCGGAUUCGCUGGUUGAGGGGGUAAAGGGCCACCAAGGCGACGAUCCGUAGCUGGUCUGAGAGGAGGUCGGGCAACACGGGAAUGGAGACACGGUCCAGACCCCUACGGGAGGCAGCAGAGGGGAAUAUUGGACAAGGGGCGCAGUCUUGAUCAAGCCAGCCCGCGUGGGUGAAGAAGGUCUUCGGGUGUUAAAGUCCGUUUGUUGGGAAAGAAAAGCAUCAGGUUAAUAACCCGCUGUUCUGACGGUACCCAAAGAAUAAGCACCGGCUAACUUCGUG
Molecule: ribosomal RNA, 492 nt
Filed under: uncultured bacterium
Lineage: Bacteria
Description: partial 16S ribosomal RNA
Rfam family: Bacterial small subunit ribosomal RNA
Source: RNAcentral